GUGCCAGCCGCCGCGGUAAUACAGAGGGGGCGAGCGUUAUUCGGAAUUAUUGGGCGUAAAGGGCGCGUAGGCGGCUGGGCAAGUCCAAGGUGAAAUCCCUCGGCUCAACCGAGGAACUGCCUUGGAAACUGCCCGGCUUGAGGCCGGGAGAGGGUAGUGGAAUUCCCAGUGUAGCGGUGAAAUGCGUAGAUAUUGGGAGGAACACCGGUGGCGAAGGCGGCUACCUGGACCGGUUCUGACGCUGAUGCGCGAAAGCGUGGGGAGCAAACAGGAUUAGAUACCCUGGUAGUCC
This 292-nucleotide ribosomal RNA is filed under the name uncultured bacterium. RNAcentral describes it as "partial 16S ribosomal RNA". It matches the Rfam family "Bacterial small subunit ribosomal RNA", at positions 505 to 796 of the family's 1533-position model. The record is from RNAcentral.